Molecule: ribosomal RNA, 473 nt
Filed under: uncultured bacterium
Lineage: Bacteria
Description: bacterial SSU rRNA
Rfam family: Bacterial small subunit ribosomal RNA
Source: RNAcentral
GCACUCCUACGGGAGGCAGCAUUGGGGAAUAUUGCACUAAUGGGCGCAAGUCCUGAUGCAGCCAUGCCGCGUGUAUGAAGAAGGCCUUCGGGUUGUAAAGUACUUUCAGCAGUGAGGAAGGUGGGUAUGUUAAUAGCAUACUCACUUUGACGUUAGCUGCAGAAGAAGCACCGGCUAACUCCGUGCCAGCAGCCGCGGUAAUACGGAGGGUGCGAGCGUUAAUCGGAAUUACUGGGCGUAAAGCGCAUGCAGGUGGUUUGUUAAGUCAGAUGUGAAAGCCCGGGGCUCAACCUCGGAAUUGCAUUUUGAAACUGGCAAACUAGAGUACUGUAGAGGGGGUAGGAAUUUCAGGUGUAGCGGUGAAAUGCGUAGAGAUCUGAAGGAAUACCGGUGGCGAAGGCGGCCCCCUGGACCAGAUACUGACACUCAGAUGCGAAAGCGUGGGGAGCAAACAGGAUUAGAUACCCUGGUAG